Molecule: ribosomal RNA, 293 nt
Filed under: uncultured eukaryote
Lineage: Eukaryota
Description: partial 18S ribosomal RNA
Rfam family: Eukaryotic small subunit ribosomal RNA
Source: RNAcentral
GGUUGAUCCUGCCAGUAGUCAUAUGCUCGAUUCGUAGAUUAAGCCAUGCAAGUGUCAGUAUAAGAUUUUAUACGUCGAAACUGCGAAUAGCUCAUUAAAACAAUUAUAGUUUAUGUGGAAAUACAUUACUACACGGAUACCUGUGGUAAUUCUGGAGCUAAUACGUGCCUCAACAUCCAUUAGGAUGUCACUUAUUAGAUUAGAACCAACCUAUGCUUGCAUAGUUGUCUGGUGAUCCAUAAUAACUUAGUGAAUCGCAUGGCAUCUGCCGGCGAUAGUCCACCUAAGUUUUU